CUGAAACUUUUCCUACAGGCAAGGAGUUGCUUCCCUUCUUUACGCUGCCCCCCGCCCAGUACAAAUGCCUUUCGCUCUGCCCCUUCUCCCUUCCUGCCCCUUAGGCCCAGGCUUCCUGCCCCCAAACACUUUUGCGACGUCCCCUCUUUCUCUUCUCAUCCUACUUCCUUCAAACUCCUCCUGGAAACCAUUGUGUCUGAGAAUAUUUCAGCCUAGGGAGCCAAAAUGGAGUCCUCUAUCUGUUCUUGGGCUCCAGAUACCUUUACUCCAACGGCCAAAGAGCGAUGGAGUACACUACCUGGGCUGCCCCUGUUUAGACCUUGUUCUUGGCAGACAUAAGGCUUGAGCUUAAGUAUCGCCGCUUGGUCCAGCCCAUCCAUCGCUACUUUUCCUCACUUCUCUCUUUCCUUCCAUACCUCAGCUCCUGUUGUUGCUGACUUGAUUUAUUGCCCGCCCUCUCUUGAAAUACCAACAUUAGUGGAGCGGCAGACAAAAAUGGCUGAAUAUGUGGAAUUAGCAAAACUGACCCACAGAAUCCGUAACCAAGAAGAAACAAAGCUCAGACAUGGGUGGAGUAAAUUUGUGGAGUAUAUACGUCAUAAUUGCAGAAGUUUAAAGACUGUAGUAGGAUUAAAAUCUUAUGGUGUGAAUAGGAUGUUAUUAAGAAUCUGUGAUAAAUGAAAGAUUACAUCCCAGCCAACUGCCAUGAAUAUUUUUUGCCUUCUCUUUGCUGGACUGUUCUUGGUCUUCCUGCCUAAUUCAGGCAUAGCAGACUUUGUCACCCUGGGCUGCUUCGUCCGAGGCGGGAAAUGCGAAACGGACAUUUGCAAAGAAAACGAAGAACAGAUUGGAAACUGCUCCAGAACUGAAAAAUUGUGCUGUAAGAAACCAAAAUAAACGGCGUCUCCUGGAUGCCAGGGGACUUCCUUUA
Podarcis raffonei (Aeolian wall lizard) is the source of this 931-nucleotide long non-coding RNA. RefSeq lists it as uncharacterized. Lineage: Eukaryota; Metazoa; Chordata; Lepidosauria; Squamata; Lacertidae. The record is from RefSeq and is a predicted model, not a curated record. The transcript is spliced from 3 exons.